This 220-nucleotide ribosomal RNA is filed under the name uncultured marine eukaryote. RNAcentral describes it as "partial 18S ribosomal RNA". It matches the Rfam family "Eukaryotic small subunit ribosomal RNA", at positions 1212 to 1456 of the family's 1831-position model. The record is from RNAcentral.
ACACCUUACUGGGGCAAGACGACAUGAUGAUUGACAAAAUGAUAGAUUUUUCUUGAUUUUUCGGGUGGUGGUGCAUGGCCGAUCUUAGUUGGUGGGGUGACUUGUCUGGUUUAUUUCGAUAACGAGCGAGAUCCGAACUCUUUAGUUGUUUAACAAUAAUUCAAUUGUUGAUUCUCUAAAGGGACUAUCAGUUAAAACUGAAGGGAGUUUCGGGCUAAAU